AUCUCAGAUGCAUGAUUUAUGUGUUUGUUUGAUUCAUGGGAGGCAUACAUCAAUGAUGGGACUUUCCUGAUGGCACUCUUUGUUUUCUAGGGCUCACCAUUCAUUC
Vitis riparia (riverbank grape) is the source of this 106-nucleotide small nucleolar RNA. Lineage: Eukaryota; Viridiplantae; Streptophyta; Magnoliopsida; Vitales; Vitaceae. The record is from RefSeq and is a predicted model, not a curated record.